Non-coding RNA from Bos taurus (domestic cattle), 73 nucleotides. The record is from Rfam. Lineage: Eukaryota; Metazoa; Chordata; Mammalia; Artiodactyla; Bovidae.
UCCCUGGAGGUCCAGUGGCUAAGAUUCAGUUCUCUCAAUGCAGUGGGACCAGGUUCAAUCCCUGGUCAGGGAA